UCAGCAGUUGUACCACUGAUUGGG
RNAcentral lists this microRNA (24 nucleotides) under Lottia gigantea (owl limpet). Its description in RNAcentral is "Lgi-Mir-1992-P1_3p (mature (guide))". The record is from RNAcentral. Lineage: Eukaryota; Metazoa; Mollusca; Gastropoda; Lottiidae.